CCUACGGGCGGCAGCAGUCGAGAAUCAUUCACAAUGGGGGAAACCCUGAUGGUGCGACGCCGCGUGGGGGAAUGAAGGUCUUCGGAUUGUAAACCCCUGUCAUGUGGGAGCAAAUUAAAAAGAUAGUACCACAAGAGGAAGAGACGGCUAACUCUGUGCCAGCAGCCGCGGUAAUACAGAGGUCUCAAGCGUUGUUCGGAAUCACUGGGCGUAAAGCGUGCGUAGGCUGUUUCGUAAGUCGUGUGUGAAAGGCGCGGGCUCAACCCGCGGACUGCAAAUGAUACUGCGAGACUAGAGUACUGGAGUGGGAACCGGAAUUCUCGGUGUAGCAGUGAAAUGCGUAGAUAUCGGGAGGAACACUCGUGGCGAAGGCGGGUUCCUGGACAUUAACUGACGCUGAGGCACGAAGGCCAGGGGAGCGAAAGGGAUUAGAUACCCUAGUAGUC
RNAcentral lists this ribosomal RNA (446 nucleotides) under uncultured bacterium. RNAcentral's name for it is "partial 16S ribosomal RNA". It matches the Rfam family "Bacterial small subunit ribosomal RNA", at positions 338 to 795 of the family's 1533-position model. The record is from RNAcentral.